UGAUCCUACGGGACGCAGCAGUGGGGAAUAUUGCACAAUGGGGGAAACCCUGAUGCAGCGACGCCGCGUGAGUGAAGAAGUAUUUCGGUAUGUAAAGCUCUAUCAGCAGGGAAGAAGAAAGACGGUACCUGACUAAGAAGCCCCGGCUAACUACGUGCCAGCAGCCGCGGUAAUACGUAGGGGGCAAGCGUUAUCCGGAUUUACUGGGUGUAAAGGGAGCGUAGACGGCUGUGCAAGUCUGAAGUGAAAGCCCAGGGCUCAACCCUGGGACUGCUUUUGAAACUGCAGGAC
Molecule: ribosomal RNA, 291 nt
Filed under: uncultured bacterium
Lineage: Bacteria
Description: partial 16S ribosomal RNA
Rfam family: Bacterial small subunit ribosomal RNA
Source: RNAcentral